Molecule: long non-coding RNA, 236 nt
Filed under: Setaria italica (foxtail millet)
Lineage: Eukaryota; Viridiplantae; Streptophyta; Magnoliopsida; Poales; Poaceae
Description: long non-coding RNA (SITA_LNC005315)
Source: RNAcentral
CUAUAGAUAACUUGGCCACUCUCAUCUUGUUGAUAACCUUCAACCACCAAUGAACUAGUUUUCUGGACAGUGCAUCUGCCACCCGAUUCUCAGUACCCUUUUUAUACACCACCUUAUAUUGGAGAUCGAGAAGCUUGGUAAAAACCUUCUGCUGCCAGGGAGUAUGCAGUCUCUGCUCUGUCAGUUGGAUCAGGCUUCGCUGAUCAGUAUAAAUGAUAAAUUCAGCAUAUUGUAAG